UACAGAGGGUGCAAGCGUUAAUCGGAAUUACUGGGCGUAAAGCGUGCGUAGACGGUUAUGUAAGUCAGAUGUGAAAGCCCCGGGCUUAACCUGGGAAUGGCAUUUGAGACUGCAUAGCUAGGGUGCGGAAGAGGGAAGCGGAAUUUCCGGUGUAGCGGUGAAAUGCGUAGAUAUCUGGAGGAACACCGGUGGCGAAGGCGGCAUCCUGGACCGGCAUUGACGCUGAGGCGCGAAAGCCAGGGGAGCAAACGGG
Molecule: ribosomal RNA, 253 nt
Filed under: uncultured bacterium
Lineage: Bacteria
Description: partial 16S ribosomal RNA
Rfam family: Bacterial small subunit ribosomal RNA
Source: RNAcentral